This 249-nucleotide long non-coding RNA is filed under the name Setaria viridis. Its description in RNAcentral is "long non-coding RNA (SVIR_LNC004519)". Lineage: Eukaryota; Viridiplantae; Streptophyta; Magnoliopsida; Poales; Poaceae. The record is from RNAcentral.
CCACGUUGGUGGGCUACCUAAAACGUGCCGGGAACGACGCGUUCAGGAUGUGCGCGGAGAAGGCCCUAGGCCCCGCUGGAUCGGGGCUCGGGCUCCGGUCUUCUUCGCUAUCGUAGCGGCCACCACGGUGUAUGUGGUAGCCACGGUCCGCUCCAUCCUCCCUGUUCGCGCGGGAGUGCCUCCGCGCGUCCAGGGUGUUACGGGCAUCGUGGAUGGGAACAACGCGCAGGUGGAAAGAUGGGGCUCCGC